UACGUAGGGUGCAAGCGUUGUCCGGAAUUAUUGGGCGUAAAGAGCUCGUAGGCGGUUUGUUGCGUCGGCUGUGAAAUCCCGAGGCUCAACCUCGGGUCUGCAGUCGAUACGAGCAAACUAGAGUGUUGCAGGGGAGACUGGAAUUCCUGGUGUAGCGGUGAAAUGCGUAGAUAUACGGAGGAACACCUGCGGCGAAGGCGGGAUAGCUGGGCCAACACUGACGCUGAUGCGCGAAAGCUAGGGGAGCAAACGGG
RNAcentral lists this ribosomal RNA (254 nucleotides) under uncultured bacterium. Its description in RNAcentral is "partial 16S ribosomal RNA". It matches the Rfam family "Bacterial small subunit ribosomal RNA", at positions 524 to 776 of the family's 1533-position model. The record is from RNAcentral.